Triticum aestivum (bread wheat) is the source of this 2530-nucleotide long non-coding RNA. RefSeq lists it as uncharacterized. The transcript has 2 exons. The record is from RefSeq and is a predicted model, not a curated record. Lineage: Eukaryota; Viridiplantae; Streptophyta; Magnoliopsida; Poales; Poaceae.
UUUGGCUUCCGUUUGUGCAGAAACGCAUAGUGGCCAUGGGUUGGGAAUCCUUCACAUCUUAACUCUGCACCAGAUUCAGGAGGGAUAAUCACUAGAUGCUGAUUCACCAAUUUUAUGCCAUUAAACAACACACUAUUAUUGCCGAUUUCAUCGAGCGUUUUGAAACUAUAAUGAACCACCUGAUAUCUUAUUCAGAAUGUACUCACCCAUACUUUUUCCUCACUCACUUUGUGGAGGGUCUCUGAUCGGAUAUUCGGGCGGUGAUCUUGGUCAACACUACAUGCUCGUUGGCCCUACUUUAGGCGGAGGUGGCCAAUGACGAACCAACGCAUGCUACGAUCCUAUUAAAAUUCAGACAAUUGAGUUGUAUGUACAGAGAAGUGGUCAAGAACCACAAGGGAAGAAAUGAAAAAGAAGCAGAAAAAGGAGGCCUAAGAGCUAAUGGAGAUAUUUCAACGGGAGGGGGGGGGGGGGGGGGGGUCCCCAAUGGGCUGCAGGAUGCCUUUCCGACGGUCCUCCAUGCCUUCAUGGUCAUCCUGAUGGAGUUGACUAUCAGGUGUACCGUAAGGUAUUUGUUCUUGAAGAUCAUGUCGUUUCUCUCAGUCCACAACUCCCAAACGAUGAGCUGGAGCAUGGAUUAGAUGCCCUUUCUUUCUGGAGCUGGUCCUUGGCUACCAAUCUUGCUCUAGAUCGCCAUGCUAUUGUCUUCGCCUUCCCAACUGGUAGGAGCCAGCGACUGACAACGUCUCCAGGUUGAGACAGAGCACCAAAUCUCCUUGGCGACGAUGCACCCCCAGAAUAGGUGGAAAGACCUUUCCAAAUUACGGAUGCAUAGAGGGUAGAAGUAGCAAUUAUCCCAGCCGACACGCUGAAGCCGAUCAGCACACCGUAUUCUGUCGUGGAGCAUUAGCUAGACGAAGGAUUUGCAUCGUGGUGGCGCCCACGCCUUCCAAAUCAUAGCCGGGAAAGGGUGAGGGGCGAUGCUCUAAUCAAGUUCCAAAGCGCAAGGAAUUCUUCAACGAAUGGUUGCGACAGGUUGCGGUGACAUCCAUGAAGUCAACCCCCCCUCCUUCCUCGCGUCGCCCCGUAGGGGCGACUCGGGGGCAAUCUAGAUCCCGUUCGCCGCCACCCCCUUCCUCCGCUUCUCCCCUUGCCGCCGCCGGAGGCAGCCGUCGGCAACCACGGGCGGACGCCGAUGAGGGUGGCGGCAAGGUCUUCGGUCGCGUUUCCUCCCUGGGAACGGACCUAGGGUUCCAGGCGGCGGCCUUGGUGGCGUGGGCGGCGCCGUCCCAGCGGCGGGCAUCCGGUGCCGGAGUUGGGGCCGCCUCCCCUCGGCUGCGUUGGUGGCGAGGCGGCAGUGGUCUGGGGCGUCGGGUGUUGGGUCCCCCGCGUCCCUCUUCGCCAGAUCUGAAGACGGUGUCCCGUCGCUUGCUACAGCCUCCUCUAUGUCAGGUUCGACCCGAUCUGGUUGUUGGCUGCGUGGAUGUGGAGUGGGUGCUCUGGAUCAGGGUAACCCCUUGGCCUCCGGCGGCGGCGACGGCCACCUCCUCGGCGGCGCUUCGAGCGCUGCUCUCCUUCCUGAAGGCGGCGUUGAGGUUCACCUCUCCCUCCUCCCCCUUCCCCUGCAUCCGGGUGAGCCCACAACUUUGGUUUGGGCGGUGGUGGCGGCAUGGCGGCGUCGUUACCUUCUUGAAGGCACCAUUUUGGGUCUGUGGGGAGGCGGGCAGGCUGUUGCGAGCUUCGGGAGCUCCCGGUGGCGGCGGCUUCUCCUUCCGGUGGUGACCCUUCGCCAUGGAUGACCGGUUCCCUCCUAUGGCCAUCGUGCUCUCCCCCAUGUGGUUCUGUCUGCCCGGCGGAUCGACGCCCACGGCCUGGACAAGAGGGGAUAGUGGUCCCCUCUUCGGCAACAUGGACGCGACGGUGGCUGAGUUGGUGGCCGUGGCGAGCUCUGGUUCCUCUGGUCGUGAUGGCUGUGUUGCUCAAAUCAGUGUCGUGUCUUCUUGGGACACCUCUGGUCCUUGCCUUGCAUCAACGACAUGCUUCAAUUGUGGGCUGCUGCUUGUGUUCGAUGUGCUUGCUGGAGUGGUCGCGCCCUUUGCCUUCCGACGGCCUGACAUCUAUGGAGAGCUUGCUCUCGGGGAGCAGUUUCUCCUUGUCGACGACAUAGCAUCACUCAAGCCUGUGCAUGAAGAGUUGGCCCCCGUCUGUUGGUGAUGGCUUUCAAUCUUGUUGGCUUUGGGUGCAGGGCGAUCUCUUCUGGUGGCGCGAUUCCCUCAAGAACUUAAAUCUUCAAGUUGUAGCCUUUUAUUUUAUCGUUGCACUUGUGCUUUCCUUUAGCUCCUUGUAUCGGCCUCUGCAGGGUUGCAUUCCUGCUUUAUUUUCUUUCCUUGUUGCUUGGUCUGUUUCCGUUGUAAUGCUAGCCGGUUGAUGGCUUUGUUAAUUCAAAGCCGGGCUAUGCUUGAGCCCUUCUUAGGCUCGGGUUGUGUCUUUUCUCUAAAAAAAGGUUGCGGUGACAAGUGUCCUUUACACA